Molecule: ribosomal RNA, 255 nt
Filed under: uncultured bacterium
Lineage: Bacteria
Description: partial 16S ribosomal RNA
Rfam family: Bacterial small subunit ribosomal RNA
Source: RNAcentral
CGAACUAAAGAUGGCGACCGGCGCACGGGUGAGUAACACGUAUCCAACCUGCCGAUAACUCGGGGAUAGCCUUUCGAAAGAAAGAUUAAUAUCCGAUAGUAUAUUAAAACCGCAUGGUUUUACUAUUAAAGAAUUUCGGUUAUCGAUGGGGAUGCGUUCCAUUAGUUUGUUGGUGGGGUAACGGCCCACCAAGACUACGAUGGAUAGGGGUUCUGAGAGGAAGGUCCCCCACAUUGGAACUGAGACACGGUCCAA